Molecule: unclassified non-coding RNA, 434 nt
Filed under: soil metagenome
Description: partial contains 5.8S ribosomal RNA, internal transcribed spacer 2, and large subunit ribosomal RNA
Rfam family: 5.8S ribosomal RNA (bases 1-121)
Source: RNAcentral
GAUGAAGAACGGCAGCGAAAUGCGAUACGUAAUGUGAAUUGCAGAAUUCAGUGAAUCAUCGAAUCUUUGAACGCAUAUUGCGCUCUCUGGUAUUCCGGAGAGCAUGCUUGUUUGAGUAUCAGUAAACACCUCAACUUCCAUAUCUUUUUUGAAAUGGGAGUUGGACUUGAGUGAUCCCAACGCUUUUCCUCACCGAAAAGUGGCGGGUUACUUGAAAUGCAGGUGCAGCUGGACUUUUCUCUGAGCUAUAAGCAUAUCUAUUUAGUCUGCCUAAAAAACAGAUUAUUACCUUUGCUGCAGCUAACAUAAAGGAGAUUAGUUCUUGUGCUGACUGAUGCAGGAUUCACAAAGACAGGCUUCGGCCGACUUUGUAAACUCGAUCUCAAAUCAAGUAAGACUACCCGCUGAACUUAAGCAUAUCAAUAAGCGGAGGA